Molecule: long non-coding RNA, 500 nt
Organism: Lemur catta (Ring-tailed lemur)
Lineage: Eukaryota; Metazoa; Chordata; Mammalia; Primates; Lemuridae
Exons: 3
Source: RefSeq, a predicted model, not a curated record
GAAGCAGAAGUCCAUGGUUGCACCUCCUGCUCCUUGUUCCAGACUGUGAGAACUGGCAUGGGAAGGAGGCAGCGUCCCCAAAGCAGGAAAUUCCUGAGGAAGGAGACUCCCAGCAUCAUGAGCCCCAGGCAGACUGAGCUGCGUUCUCCUGAGACCACUGAGGUUUGCAGAAACCAAUGGACACAGGACAGUGAAAAAACAGUCCAGUGAGAAGACGGGCAGGAGACAGGAGGAGAUAUUGCACUAAGAAGACUUGCAGAUGGCACGGACAGCUAUCCACAGUUUCACCUCUCCUCCAAAACAACCUGGAUGCUGUCCAAGAUGUAGUAGACGAUGCAUUCUCUCGGCCACCUGCCCAUUCCUUCAAGAGCAUGUAGACUUUGUCCCCAAGAUAUAAGCCCUGGGAGAGGGGGUUGCUGUGCAGAGAUCUACUUGUCUUGUGACCACCCAAGACCACUCCUAUCCAUAAGUCCCCCAGUAAAUCCUUUACCAACAAACUG